This 253-nucleotide ribosomal RNA is filed under the name uncultured bacterium. Its description in RNAcentral is "partial 16S ribosomal RNA". It matches the Rfam family "Bacterial small subunit ribosomal RNA", at positions 524 to 776 of the family's 1533-position model. The record is from RNAcentral.
UACGUAGGGUGCAAGCGUUGUCCGGAAUCAUUGGGCGUAAAGGGUGCGUAGGCGGCGCGGUAAGUCGGGUGUGAAAUCUCGGAGCUUAACUCCGAAACUGCAUUCGAUACUGCCGUGCUUGAGGACUGGAGAGGAGACUGGAAUUUACGGUGUAGCGGUGAAAUGCGUAGAUAUCGUAAGGAAGACCAGUGGCGAAGGCGGGUCUCUGGACAGUUCCUGACGCUGAGGCACGAAGGUCAGGGGAGCAAACGGG